AUGUAUCUGCAUUCUGUCUCACUGAGGCCUCCGUUACACAGUGUAGCCUAUCUCCAGUAUUUCAUGUUCCAGAUCCAUAUAGCAAACAUACAAAACUCUGACAAAAUGGAACAACAAAUUGAGAAUUAUAUUAUUUCUGAUUUUUUUCUUUAAAGAAGUUCAGAAGGUAUAGAAUAAAUAAUAUAACUUACAUCACUACAUCACUGUAUGCAGUAGUAGCAGGAAUAAAAUCGAUGUAGUUAUUUCUAUUUUCAAAUAGAAAGGAUAGAUCUCAUAUUAGGUUAAUUUAAAUUCUUUAAAGGUCAAUAUAAUUGAAUCUAAUUAAUGAACAGUAAAUAAAAUCUUAUAGUACCUUAAUUCUUAACAAAAUCCUAGUACUCUGAUGAUCACAGGUGUCUUACCAAAAGAAUCACUUCUCCUGUUCUCUUCCAUCUAUGGUUAUGAUACCAUGAUGCAAAUCCAGAGUGCUGUGAGUCCAUGCAGUAUUUAUGUGCAGCUGAGCUGAGUGGAGCAGUCGAGUCUCAUCAACACUCACCAUGAAGAUCCCACUCUCCUUAUUCCUGCUACUAAUCAGCCUCAUCAGUGUGAAAUGUCAAAGUCUUGAGUCAUUACAAAUGACAGUGCAGAAGAAACCUGGAGAAACUCUGAGUCUCUCCUGCAGAGGAUCUGGAUUUACUUUUGGAAGCUACGACAUGCACUGGAUCAGACAACAGGCGAACAAACCACUGGUGUGGAUGGGGUUUAUCUACACUGAUGGCAGUGGCACUGGAUAUAGUAAAGCUUUUGAAGGGAGAACAGAAAUCACCAGAGAUAAUUCCAACGGCAUGGUGUAUCUGAAACUCUCUGGUGUGACAGCAGAGGACACAGCUGUGUAUUACUGCGCACGAGACACACAGUAGCAGAAAUAUGAGGAAACACUGUACAAAAACAUUAGUGGUGCUGCUGAUUCAUUUCAUCUGCUGAAAACAUUUUUAGAGCCCAUACCUCUCUUCUGUUUGGAUUAGGAAUCCACAGGAAUCAACAAUAUUUCUUCAUUUAGUUCUAAUGAUAGAUAAUAAAUGUUACAUGAAUGAUUAUCAACAAGGAUUUAGCUCAAUUAAAAAAUACCACUAUGUGAGGAAUACAACACUUGCAGUGUGCUGUUAUAGGAAAUCAUGUGACUGUGUAAUGUGAUGCGGCCCGAUGUGAAGUGGACUCACUGUUACCACCCUGAAUUUACCCUCAUGUUUUCCAGUAACAGCACAUCCCAAACUGCUUUAUUUCUCUCAUAACACAGCAAUUUGCCAACAAGAAAAAUUUUUUGUUUCUUAUUUAACAACAAUUUAUAUAUUUUGGCCAUUAAUAAUUGCCUUUACUAGCUGCUCUUUUAUCUCACUCUUGAAGUUAAUAAGAAAAUUAAAAGCAGCUCAUCAGGUUGCUGAGAAACCACAAAGUGCAAAGUUCUCUGUCCUAAAGAAUUUUCUGUGUCAGGAAACUUACUGCAACUGGAGACUCCUUCCAUAAAUGUUAAAUAUCCCCUUACAUCAAACUUCACCAAAUCCGUGCUUCAUCCACACAUAAGUACAGAUAUCACAGUUAACAAAAUUCCCGAGUUUCUCUUAGCAGCAGUCUUACUUUUAAGAUUUAAAACUAUUUACGUCCAAUAAGAAAGCUUAAUAAAUGACCUAAAUUCAUUCUUUCAGUUGUCUUCAUUAACUGAUUUUUUUUC
This is a non-coding RNA of Pangasianodon hypophthalmus (striped catfish), 1708 nucleotides long. Lineage: Eukaryota; Metazoa; Chordata; Actinopteri; Siluriformes; Pangasiidae. The record is from the annotation of a RefSeq genome assembly.